CACCAACAAUGGAAAAAAUACACUUUAUAUUGUCCCUCUCCAAGAAAAAAUUGAUACUACACCUCUUCCACAUGAUGCUGCAGAAUUCAGCAAAAUGCCGAAGUCUCAGUGCAAGACCUGUGGUGUGACUAUGCCUCUUCAGCUACUUGUUUGUCACGUAGAAAACUGUGUACAAGAAGCUGCGUGUGAAAGCAUGACUGACCAGGCACAUCAGAAUGAAGUCCAAUUGGAGCCUUCUUGUCCUGUUUGUGGA
Molecule: long non-coding RNA, 253 nt
Organism: Pelmatolapia mariae (spotted tilapia)
Lineage: Eukaryota; Metazoa; Chordata; Actinopteri; Cichliformes; Cichlidae
Exons: 3
Source: RefSeq, a predicted model, not a curated record